Non-coding RNA from Bufo gargarizans (Asiatic toad), 673 nucleotides. NCBI's taxonomy places the organism in Eukaryota, Metazoa, Chordata, Amphibia, Anura, Bufonidae. The record is from the annotation of a RefSeq genome assembly.
CUCCAGAAGAAAGGAAAAUUGUACACUUUUUCAUACUAGUUGUAAAAAUGUUUCAAAGGACCAGCAACAGGUUGAGAAUCUUACUUCCUGUAUAUGAUACUGAUCACUGUCUCCUAAGACGCAGAGGGAGCAGCAUCAACAACCAUGUCCUCCAUACCAAAGUUGCUAUUCUGCUGGUCUCUUUCAGUCUGUCUUGCCCAAAAAGGCACCAUCACUCAAACCCCUCAACUUCUUAUAGGAAAGGUGGGUUCUGAAGUGGAAAUGAAGUGUCAACAGCUGACGACAGACCAUGAGUGGAUGUACUGGUAUUACCACAGCAGGGGGCAGGGGCUGGAGCUGGUCACCUAUAUGCUGAGGGGGAAUGAGCCCACCUAUGAAGAUGGCUACAAAGUUGGAUACAAGAUGAACAGGACAAAUGGAGACAAACACAGUUCUCUAAGAAUCGAUUCUCCUACAGCCAAGGAUCAAGGGGUUUAUUUCUGCUCCUCCAGUGAUGCACGGUGACACAAAGAGCCUGAGGGCUUUGAUGUAACCUCAGUACCCAAUAAUAAUGAGAGAGAUCAUCCGGCAGCUCAGGAAGAACAUUAACCUCCCACACAGAUGUGAUACAAAGUAACAAGAAAGGAUCAACACAAAAAGUCUAAAAAAAUUCAAAGCAUAAAAAGUAUAACAG